GAUGAAGAACGCAGCGAAAUGCGAUAAGUAAUGUGAAUUGCAGAAUUCCGUGAAUCAUCGAAUCUUUGAACGCAUAUUGCGCCCUCUGGUAUUCCGGAGGGCAUGCCUGUCCGAGCGUCAUUGCUGCCCUCAAGCACGGCUUGUGUGUUGGGCCCCGCCCCCCGAUCCCGGGGGGCGGGCCCGAAAGGCAGCGGCGGCACCGCGUCCGGUCCUCGAGCGUAUGGGGCUUUGUCACCCGCUCUGUAGGCCCGGCCGGCGCUUGCCGAUCAACCAAACUUUUUUCCAGGUUGACCUCGGAUCAGGUAGGGAUACCCGCUGAACUUAAGCAUAUCAAUAAGCGGAGGA
This 345-nucleotide unclassified non-coding RNA is filed under the name soil metagenome. RNAcentral's name for it is "partial contains 5.8S ribosomal RNA, internal transcribed spacer 2, and large subunit ribosomal RNA". The stretch from base 1 to 120 matches the Rfam family "5.8S ribosomal RNA", at positions 35 to 154 of the family's 154-position model. The record is from RNAcentral.